AAACCAAAUACAUGAAUUUGGGAUAAACAAGUACCGUGACACGUCUUAUCGCAAUGUCAAUUUACACUCAAAAAUAAGAGAAAACAAACGACGCAACGUUAAAUUGUAACACACACAGAAACAAACUAUAAUAUAACAAUGGCCAUAUUCCUGACUUGGUACAGGACAUUUUUAAAGGAAAAAAUGGUGGGUUGAACCUGGUUUUGUGGCAUGCCAAACCUCGCACUUUAAUGGCAAUGUUAAAUAUAACAUAGAAAUGACAACAUAAUAUUACAGGAC
Molecule: long non-coding RNA, 279 nt
Filed under: Mytilus galloprovincialis (Mediterranean mussel)
Lineage: Eukaryota; Metazoa; Mollusca; Bivalvia; Mytilida; Mytilidae
Source: RNAcentral